GUUGCGGUGUGGCUCAUCACCGGGCAUCUUGCGUGACGUUGGACUCUGCUAGCUGCCUAGUGAAGGGCAACAUCGGGGC
Non-coding RNA from Zootermopsis nevadensis, 79 nucleotides. Lineage: Eukaryota; Metazoa; Arthropoda; Insecta; Blattodea; Termopsidae. The record is from Rfam.